AGAUGCCGCCCAGUUUCAGGUGUCCCAUGCCGCCGUGCAUGGGGUGAAACGGGAAGCCGGUGCGUCACUCAGAUGACCAGUCCGGCGCUGCCCCCGCAACGGUAGGCGAGCGAAACCUUCUAUAUACCACUGUGCUACAGCCUCACAGGCUGCAUGGGAAGGUGAAGGUUUCAUGAUCCUCGCAAGCCCGGAGACCGGCCUGCAACUUCAGUUUGGC
RNAcentral lists this non-coding RNA (217 nucleotides) under Pseudomonas sp. RNAcentral also lists the same sequence under 1 other name. The record is from RNAcentral. Lineage: Bacteria; Pseudomonadati; Pseudomonadota; Gammaproteobacteria; Pseudomonadales; Pseudomonadaceae.